RNAcentral lists this ribosomal RNA (100 nucleotides) under Salvator merianae (Argentine black and white tegu). The record is from RNAcentral. Lineage: Eukaryota; Metazoa; Chordata; Lepidosauria; Squamata; Teiidae.
UAGGCUGCCCAUUGCUGAUUUUGAUAUGAAAAACCAUGAAGUUCAGGCCUGGUUAGUACUUUAUUGGGAGACCAUCUGGGAAUGCAAGGUGCUGGAUUCU